Long non-coding RNA from Mesocricetus auratus (golden hamster), 555 nucleotides. RefSeq lists it as uncharacterized. The transcript has 3 exons. Lineage: Eukaryota; Metazoa; Chordata; Mammalia; Rodentia; Cricetidae. The record is from RefSeq and is a predicted model, not a curated record.
GCAGAGGCAGCCCUUUCAUCUGGCUGUCUCUGAAGUUUCUGGAAGAAGGAUGGCCUUUCCGUCACUGUCACAUUCCGGGUUAACUAACUCCCUCAUGGUAGUGCCCCCACCAUGGCUGCUAUCAUGGCUACACCUCAGAGACCUGGCUAUGGACAGCUGAACACCAACAAAUCACUUCUUAGGCAUGGAAAUACAGGCUUUCGUCUGCUAGCUUCAAACACAGCAAUUUAAUUGGCACAAAUAUAAACAGGUGUGGUGAGUCACCAUGAGGGCACUGAGAAUUGAACCCAGUCUUCUGCAGGAACAACAAACACUCCUAGCCAUCUCUCCAGCCCCUGUGGUCAUUUAUAGACUAUAAAGUAUGAUUUGGUAGACAGAAACCUCUGUGAUUUCUCAGCCCAACGUACAGGGUAGAGUGGCCACUACAAUCGCUGUGAUAUUUUAUAAAUGCCAGUGGAUAACUAAUCUCCUAAAUCAGAGUCAGAGCUCCCCAGAGGUUAAGUCUGCCCACCUGUGGCACACAGUAUACCCAGCACAUAGCACACACAGCACACA